GGAGGUGGAGGAGGAGGAAUAGGAAGUGAAGAAAAAUAGAUUAGAAAACGCGAACAGAAAUUAGGAAUUCGAUCGAUUUUUAUUCGGUUCGCAUUGCAAUUUUGUUGUCUAGAAGAAUUUCAAAAUACUUGAGAUUUCACUCACGUAUUUCUAUGAAAACAUAUAUAUGUAUACAUAUAAUAUAACUAUAAAAUAUGUAGAUGUAUUGUGUUCGUAAUCUAUUUAUAUAAAUUAUAUCAAAUUUGCAUCGAGAUUUCUCGCAUACAAAGAGGGAUAUCCAAAAUUGAAUUUAACGUUUAUCUCGGUUUUUUUUUUUCUUCUUUCAUUUUAUUUUUAUUACGGAUCAUAUAUAUUUCUUUAGAAUGUAAUCGUUAUCACGAGGGGAAAAUACGCUCACACAGAAGUAGAUCUACGUGUUAAUUAAGAUAAUUCAAGAUAGGAAAAUGCGCUUGCGUCCAUUCCUAAGGAGAAAAAAUAUCUGUUACUCUUCUUAAUCCGAAAUUUAUUCGGUGCGGAACAAUUAAAUCGUACGGUAUUAUCUUCUCGUUUAAUCGUGCAUCUCUAAUUAAGCAUUUAAGCACGCAUACACCCAAUAUCCACAUAUACACGCAUACAAACAUGUACCGCAUAUACUCGUUGAAAAGGGAAAAUACGUUUGCUAGAAAUUCCGAAAAUUUGUCAAUCGAUCUUCUAAUAUCGUCAUCCUCGACAACAUUUUUUGGCCUUCGACGCAACGAUUUCGACUAAUUUCGACCGAGAGAGAGAGAGAGAGGUAGAGAGAUAGAAAGAGAGAUAGAAAAAUAAAGAGAAAGAGAGAGAGAGAGUGUGGGAGAGAGAGAGAGAGAGAGUGAGAAAGGGAAGUCACCGAUGGAACAUAGUAUAGUAGAACAAAUAACGAUCUCUUUGAUCCCGUGUCAAAAAGUUAGCUGGCAGGAUAGUGUCGAGCAUUGUCCAUCCUUGAUCUUCCAAGGAGAAGGAAGAUAAACGAUAGCGAAAAGGAUUUCAAAGAUAUCUCGUUAAAGAUGAGAAAACGGGCGACGAGAUCUUUAAGGGGAGGGAAGAAAGUAUGGACGGCGAUUCCAACAACCUGACGACGCUCGUAGCCAACCUGACGACGUACCAGGACGAAGGCUAACGGUUCCGGAGGGGAAUAAGAAAGAAGUUGCGGAUGAACGAAAGAUGAACGAGAGCGAGGGUUAUCUGCUCGAGUGGGAAGAUGAGGCAGAAGCAAGGGAACCUAGCGGCGAAUUAAAUCGAAGUUUUUACAACGCAAGUCGCGGCAAUCGCAGUUACGAAGAUUUGUGGGAAUUAACGAGCGAUCGGGCCGGACUCGCUGUUUUACUUUUUCUAUUUUCCGUGGCCACAGUUUUCGGUAACAGCUUGGUAAUCCUAGCGGUCAUCAGAGAAAGAUAUCUCCACACGGCGACGAAUUAUUUCGUAACGUCGUUGGCCUUUGCAGAUUGCCUGGUCGGGCUGGUCGUCAUGCCGUUCAGUGCGAUUUACGAGGUAUUAGAAAAUCGAUGGCUAUUCACGACCGAUUGGUGCGAUGUCUGGCGUUCCCUCGACGUACUCUUCUCGACGGCCUCGAUCUUGAACCUCUGUGUGAUAAGUUUGGAUCGUUAUUGGGCCAUCACCGAUCCCUUUACCUAUCCAAUGAGGAUGACUAGAAAACGUGCCGCGAUAUUGAUCGCGAUCGUUUGGAUUUGUUCUAGCGCGAUAUCAUUUCCAGCUAUUGCUUGGUGGAGAGCCGUCAGGACGGAGGAAGUACCAGAAGACAAGUGUCCGUUCACUGAAAAUCUCGGCUAUUUGAUAUUUUCAUCGACGAUUAGCUUUUAUUUACCGCUAUUCGUUAUGGUCUUUACCUAUUAUAGGAUCUAUCGAGCGGCGGUUAUACAAACGAGGAGUCUCAAAUUGGGAACAAAACAAGUUAUGAUGGCCUCCGGCGAGCUCGAACUUACUCUUAGGAUACAUCGUGGUGGUGGUGGUGGUGGUGGUAGUGGUGGUGGAGGUGUUAGCACUAGCGGAGCUAGUACGAACGUAGAUCCAAGGCAUCUAUUUCGUACGGCCUCGAGUACCCCAGAAGAUCUUCAAGAUCUCGAGGAACCUCUUACCGCUCUUCACAACAAUGGAUUGACCAGAAUACCUUCCACUAGGAUCAACAAUAAACAACAUCUAGGGAAAAACUUUUCGUUGUCGCGCAAACUAGCGAAAUUUGCUAAGGAAAAGAAAGCUGCUAAGACUCUUGGCAUUGUCAUGGGAGUCUUUAUCGUUUGCUGGUUACCCUUCUUCGUGGUGAAUCUAUGGUCGGGUUUCUGCGCCAGGUGUAUCUGGCAAGAGGAGAUUGUUUCUGCUGCCGUCACGUGGCUUGGCUGGAUCAACAGUGGCAUGAACCCAGUUAUAUACGCUUGCUGGAGCAGGGAUUUUCGGAGGGCAUUCGUAAGGAUAUUAUGCGUAUGUUGUCCAAGACGAAUGAGAAGGAGAUAUCAGCCGGCAUUUCGAUGUAAACCUAGUCAGAGAUUCUCAUCCGGAAGGUACUAUUCUGCUUACUCGCUCCACCACAUGCGAAGAAGCCGAGAGAAUUCGGGUGAACAAACCUACAUUUAACGACGGGAUUAUCGACGCGACACGAUCGUCGAAAAAUCGUCGUUAUCCUCGAAGUACUACCUACGCCAUUAUAUCAAAAGUCCUUUCCGUUCCAACCAAAUACGACGGAAUACAUUAUUAUGGCGUCUACGGUGCACGGUUAUUCAUAAUAUAAUGAUUAUUCGUCGAAUAAAAAUCGUCUAGUGUGUAUUAAUAGACCCGAACGGAGAAUCUUCGAAUCGACAUUCAUUUAAAUAUAAAUAAAAAAAAUACGCGCGGGGAAUUAAUAAUAUCACAUCAUAAUAUUAUCACGGUAGUUUAUCACAUAUCUCGAUGUUACAUAUCGUUUUUUCACAAUAUAUUAUAUAUAGGUGAACAAUAAAAAUCUUGUAUCGUUGCAAUCGCUCUAUUUUUGUUUUUUUUUUUUUUUUUUGGGGACGCUUAAGUGGUCGGAAAAUUUUUGCAAUCGUUUCAUAAAAAUAAGGAUCCAAAAAGAAAAGAGAAAGAAAGCACUAUAAAACAUACGUGUGUGUAUAUAUAUACAUAUACAUAUAUAUAUAUAUACAUAUAUAUGUAUAGAGAUAUAUUAUCGUGUCGAAGUAAGUAAGUAUGCGUCGGAGUAUCUCGAAAAAAAAGAAAAAAGAAAAAAAAACGUUUGCUUUUUCAAUGAAAUAUAUAAAUAAAUAAUCGAUAAAACAUUUUAAUGGCACUACGAUCACGAAACGAUGAUGCGUUUAUUCGCAUAUAUUAUAUCCGAUUAAAAAAUCCUACCCAAGUAAAUGGUUUCUUAAGUGACCCCCCCUGACCAACCCCCCCCCCCUUUUAUCACCCAUGCCUUUUUCACCAGUUACCGAAUCGCUCUGAUGGAGGAGACUUGUCGCCAACCCUGUAGAAAACAAAGAACCUCGUACGUUUCCGGAAUGGGAACUUGCGGGCAAACGAGUAGCGUUAGUUACAGCAGUGUCAGCCAAAGCAGCGAUGGGGGUGCCUGCGUGUCUGGAACUGGUCUACCUAACUAUAAUACUGGGGGAAUGUGACGUCACCCAGGGGCCCGUUCAGGGCCACGUCGUGAAAGAGCCAUACGUUUCCGGGACGCGUGAUACGAUAAUAUACCAUCAUCACAUGAGUACUAAAUACACAUUUUACACGUGUAUUAUAUGGGAAAUGGAUCAUUCCAAAAAAAGAAAAAGAAAAGAAAGGAUAACGUAUGACAAGAGGAAUACGGGAACAAGUGAUCUCACUACACGUGUUGCUACGUUCGUAAAUUAUACUAAUUAAUUUCGUUUAUUUGUAGCGCAAUAAAUAUACCUAUACAAAAUACCAUAGGUAGGAAGAUAUAUCUAAUUUUACAUUAGUAUUAUAAUGUUUAAUCAUUUUUACGCGCAAUCUUUUUGAUAUUUUUAAACAAUACUUUUUCUCAAUAUCAUUUUUCUCUCCCUGUAUGUAUUAUUUUGUUUCUAUUUUUUUUUUUUUAUACUUACCUUUUUUCCUUCGCGUCUAUUCGACUCGUAACGAGUUGAUAACGACGUUGACAUUUUUCGAUAGUUACAUUAUGAUAAUUAUGCGAUAACGAAAGUAAUGGGAUAUUAAACAAAGGUUAAUAUUUGUUUAAAAGGAAGAAACACACUUUUGGAAGUAAAUAACAUUUCGUUUGCUUCUUGCCUUCUUACAUAUUCCUUAUCUUUCUCUCUCUCUCUCCCUCUCUCUUUCUCUCUCUCCCUCCCUCUCUCUUUCUCUUUCUAUCUAUCUAUUCAAAAAGUAUUGUUAAAUAUUUAUGCAGUAGAGAGAUAAUUGUUACGCUACAUAUUAAAUCUUGAGAUCAGUAUUGAAAGAAUCGGAAAGAAAAUCAUUCAUUUUUGCGAAUGACGAACUUUUUGCCGUUCGAGUGUUGUUAAAAAAAAAAAAUCACAAUUAGAUAGAUAGACACAUAAAUAUAUAUUAUACAAUUAAUCUAAAUCUAUAGUGAACGCGCGUAAUAAUAAUAAUAAUAAUAAUCAUCAUCAUUGAUGCGUACUGACGCGCACAUAUGUGUAUAUAUUAAUAAGCAAAUAUAUUCGAAAUGAAAUCUAAUAUAAAUUAUGAUAAUAUGUAUUAUCACGUGUGCUACGUAUUGCACAAAUUAGGAAGCAAUUUUUGAUAUUGAGAAAAAAAAAAAAAUAUGUGGAAACGAACGAUUCUCUAGAGCUUUGGAUACUUUUUACGUAAAAAAAAAAAAAAAGAAACUUUAAGACGCGCGACCAAGAAAAAAAAAGUAAAUAAAACAAAAAAAGAACAAGAUUAAAAGAUUUAAAAAAAAAAAAAAAUAAUGAAACGAAACACGAUGGACAUGAUUUAACUCCAAAGACUCCGAAGUACACUUUUUUUCUCUAUCAUAUCCCGUACGAUUGGGGAAGUAUAUGUGUAUAUGAGAAAUAAACACAUUUACGAAAAAAGUUCGCGAGUUUGGAAAACGAGAAAUAAUAUAAAAGUAAAAA
Molecule: unclassified non-coding RNA, 5057 nt
Filed under: Polistes canadensis
Lineage: Eukaryota; Metazoa; Arthropoda; Insecta; Hymenoptera; Vespidae
Description: dopamine receptor 2-like, transcript variant X1
Source: RNAcentral